CAAUAGCGUAUAUUAAAGUUGUUGCAGUUAAAAAGCUCGUAGUUGGAUUUCUGGUGGGAGCGAUCGGUCUGGCGCUUAGCGCGAGUACUUGCAUCGUCUCCGGCCAUCCUUGGGGAGAGUCUGUCUGGCAUUAAGUUGUCGGGCAGAGGAUCCUCAUCGUUUACUGUGAAAAAAUUAGAGUGUUCAAAGCAGGCUUAUGCCGUUGAAUAUAUUAGCAUGGAAUAAUAAGAUAGGACUUUGGUACUAUUUUGUUGGUUUGCGCACCAAAGUAAUGAUUAAUAGAGACAGGCGGGGCUAUUCGUAUUGCAUUGUCAGAGGUGAAAUUCUUGGAUUUCUGCAAGACGAACUACUGCGAAAGCAUUUAGCAAGGAUGUUUUCAUUAA
RNAcentral lists this ribosomal RNA (383 nucleotides) under uncultured eukaryote. RNAcentral describes it as "partial 18S ribosomal RNA". It matches the Rfam family "Eukaryotic small subunit ribosomal RNA", at positions 592 to 976 of the family's 1831-position model. The record is from RNAcentral.